Molecule: non-coding RNA, 9871 nt
Organism: Rattus norvegicus (Norway rat)
Lineage: Eukaryota; Metazoa; Chordata; Mammalia; Rodentia; Muridae
Source: RefSeq, a predicted model, not a curated record
CCCAAGCAUAAGGCAAUUAUUUAUGGUUCUGCUCAAGGAGAAGAGAGAUGGAAUAUGUGAUAGAGUGUGGAAAAAAUGACAGACAGCCUCGUUAGUUCUGUAAGAAUAUCCCCUGGGUCCUCCAGAAAACAGAAAAAACAGAAUGUCAUACCCAGGCCCAACCUCAAGGACUGGUGGGCUGGCUAUAUUAGAAUGCUUGUUACAGUAGCAAAAUCACUCUGCUUAGGACAAACUGGGAUGUUGUUCAUUGUGGUGGAAGGAUCUUAAUGUAUAUAUUGAAAAACCUUGAAUCCUCAGGUACCAUUCUUUAGUUUGAACUCUGCAUUCACAAACAGAGUACCCCUCCCUGAUAAAGGGGAAUCUUGUUUCCCUACCUAUAAGGGGUAGAAGGUCCUGUUUGGGGAAAAUCAUGUAUAGACUGUGAUUCCUCCCAUCUUUCCUCAUGGAUACUAAAUAAUGAGAAAGUUGCAAUACAACACAGUUGGGGAAGUUCUGUGCCCAGGAACAGAAGGUAGACACUGGAAGCAUGCAGAGUCAUUAUCUAGGCACCAUGGUCCACCAGGGACCAGAGAAUCCAUGCAGACCAUCAUUCUGAAGAUGUGACAGUAUCAAGGGAUUCAAAGAUAAAGUUGGAAAAGGGUGAGUUUAUCUACGUGUGAGUGCACAUACCGUAUGUAAGACCCCAAGACGUGAUGAAGAUGUGCUGUGGGCAUAGCUCUUUGUAGCUUAGAUAAGGCAAUAGCAGAUAACUAAAAAAGAGAGAGAUGUACAGAGGAUAAAGGCAGUGAUCAACAGCUCUGACGGAGUAGACGCGACUGCAUAAGGCCAGACAAUGCACAAGUCAAUAGCAAUUUAUAGAAGAGCCGAGAGAACAAUCCAUUUACCAAAGGACUGGGGAGCAAAGUGCUGAGAGAUUCUUCUAAAGCUAAGUGACAAGAAUCCUUCAUAGAUGAGAGCUGUAAUGUAUUCCACUGGAGAGAUGAGCUCCUUGACGACAGUGAUCAAGAGAGAAUUCCGAGACAACAAAAGUCAGGCAGCUAUACUUAACUGACAGACCAGAGAGGCACAAAAUUACCACCGUGAACGGGAAGGUCAGAGUGCUAGUCGGAGCGCCUACAGAGGACCAUGAACUGAGGGGAAAGAAUGGUGGUGUUUUCAACAUCAAAGUGGUGAAGCCGAUGCGUCCAGUGUGACGUUAACAGAAGAAAGAAUGGAAAACAGAGUGCAAUGCUGGCGGAAGUGAGACCCACAGACGCCUUAUGAAUGUAAUGGGAUCUUGAAGGCUGAACAGAUGGCUCGGAGGUUAUGAGCACCUAAGGCUCUUCCAGAGAACCCAAGUUCUGUGCCCAGCAUCCAAGUCAGGCAACUCAAAGCUUUUUGUAACUCUAACACCAGGAAAAUAUGAUGCCUCUGGAUUCUCGGACACCUGGGCUAAUGUAAAUCUAACACACUAUUUAAAAUAAUAAUUUAAAAAAUCUUUAUAAUGGGGUCUCCCUUUUACCAAGUUUGAUAACCUGUCUCCCAACUUUUCAAUGUUCCUAUUAAAGUCUGCGUUUUACCACCCUGUGCCUUGUUCUUUCUCUUUACCCUCCAUGUCUUUCAGAAUGAGUGUGGUUUGUGCUUUUAGCGUCCCUUGGUUCUGGCUCUAAAUUGCCUGUUUAUAUGCUAGGCUCGUUCUGUGGUCUCUAAAUACAUCCUUGGCUUAUCACGGCUUGACUUCCAAUGCCUCAGCACUUCAUAAAAUCAAACACUGGGCACCAGGCUUCUUUGGAUACCCACCAUGUCAUCUGCAUUCCUGUUCUCAACCGCAUCACUUCCAUGCACACUCAGAGCCCUGCAGUGCAGUGCAGUGCAAACUCUACGUAACUGGUACAUUCCUCCCGCAAAGAAAGUCCUCCACGCUCCUGGGAUAUUUAUGACUGUGAGUGUCCUCUACGGAUUUAUGUACAUACACAUUUCAUGUGAUGUCACUCCGCCAGCAGAGCUCCCACACGUCCUACGGUGCACAGCUUUUGUUUUUCCUGGGUGACAGCUCCCUUUGUCUUCAUCGGUAAAAGAAUAUUUUCCUGGCUACCUUUUCUCUUUGCUUCAAGCACAAGGAACUCUUUCUCCAGUCUUCACUGGGGAGAACUUAGGUAAAACUCACAAAGGUGAGCAUCUUCCCUCUAAAUCACACAGAUGGACCGACAGACAGACAGAUGGACAGAUUGACAAACAGACCAACAAAUAUCUGUACACGUGUUGGCGUGCACGCACACACACGCACACACACACACACACACACGCGCGCGCACACACACACACACGCACACACGCACACACGCACGCACGCACAGUGGAAUUUUUCUAUGGUUUCAAUUUUUGUAUUGGUUAUUUUAUUUACAUUUCAAAUGUUAUUUCCCUUCCUGGUUUCCCCUCCACAACCCUCCUAUCCUGUCCCUUCCCACCUGCCUCAGUGAAGGUACUCUCCUCACACCGACCCACGACCAUCUCAUCGCCCUUGCAUCCCCCUACGCUGGGUCAUCGAGUCUCCAAAGGACCAAGGGCCUCCCCUUCCUGAUACCACAUAAUGUCAUCCUCUGCUGCAUAUGCAGCUGGAGCCAUGGGUCCCUCCAUGUGUAGUCUUUGGAAUUUUUUUUUCCAGAGCUGGGGACCGAACCCAGGACCUUGCUCUUGCUAGGCAAGUGCUCUACCCCUGAGCUAAAUCCCCAACCCCAUCUUUGGAAUUUUUAAUGCUCAACUCUACCCAAAGAGCACUUUAAGUGGGUAGUCAAUGGUAAUUUAAGUUUCCUUGUACGUUUGCGACUGGAUCCCAGGAAGGCUUGGAAUUGCAAUCUGUGGUUCUGUCUUCUAACUGCAAAGAGGCAGUUAGAAGUGUUUCCAAGCACUUAAGAGAAGUUGAUGGCGUAUUGCUUCAUUCUACUUUGCUUUUCCUGGUUCUAAGAGGCAACACAUGCCAGACCAUGCAUGGGAUAAUUUCUGAGUACUUUUUAUACUAUGUGUAAAAUUUAUGUGACAUUUGUUUGUUUGCUUGUUUGUUUUACAUAUUUAGUACUAUAAAUCUUUGAACUUGUGGUUUGAUCUGAAUAGAAUGCUGAAUUUUGCUAUACUUUUUGAAAUAAUGGUGGGUUUCUGUUGUCCUCUAUUCAUAGUGUACAUAGUUUACAUUUUGGUUUUGUAUGUUUGAAUCUCAUUUUCAACCUUUUGGCUCACUAGUUUAUUUCUGCAGGAGUCCGGAAUACAUAUCCCAUCAUAAUUCUUAAGGUUCUUUUAGCAUUUGCAUGAUUCCAAGUUCUAUAUUCUUAGAAAAAAGCUCUGGGGACGGUUUGACUUACAGUCCUUUGUGUUCGUUCUUUCAUGUCUGCUGUGAUAAAAAGAAAUUCUUGACAAGGUGACUUGAAGAAGGAAAACCUGCAUCAGAGUCCAUAGACCUCAGCAUCUACAUCUCUAGCGUGACCAGCAUUCGCAUGGUCUAUCAUAUCAGCAAAUCUUUGCAAAGAGUUGUGUAUUCUUGGAUACAUUGCACAUGAUUCUUCAGUCAGAGUUAUGGUUGAGGUCCACUCGGCAUUGCCAAGGCCACCCUUCCUCAAGGUCUCCAGCAGUGUCAACUGACACCAGUGUCUUCACGUCUUCAGGCUCCAGGGUCUUUCUAUGUGACCUCUGCUUUGAGGAUAGUACCAGGAUGUAGAAGAUGUGGUUUCGCUUUUCAACGAGCCUCUUGCCGCAGAGGAGGGAAAGGAAGACCACUCAGAAAGACGAGGGAUCGUGUGAUAUUGAUUCUCCAAGUAGGACAAGAUGGCUGCCCCAGGAGCUACAGGGAUCUGAGCUUCUCCACCUCCCCAACCUUGGUACGUCCCACCACCUCCAAGAUAAGUGGGUGUCCCCCAUAUACUUCUUUGGAAUAUUCAGUUCUUUGCUGAUGGCCACAGUCUUCCUUCCAACUCCCUGUUAUAAGUGGCGAAAGCUGAGCUUGACUUUUGGGUAGGAGAUUUACCAAGGAAGAAAAAUGGGUGAGACGGGAAGCUGGAUUCCUAUCUGCUGCUUGGAAACAAUCUUUUUAAGGACUACACAAACUUCUUCCUCUCCAUAACCUCGAUGAGGAUAUCUGCCUAGGAAACUCUGCAAGGACAUAUGACGCCUUUUAACUCCAUCGAAUUGUCGCCUAUCAUGGGUUAUAAAGACAUAAAAUGCAGUUGGGUACAUUAUAAAAAUGAGAAACAUAGUCAAGAAAACAAAAGGAAGAGAGAGUGUGGGCAUAAAAGCGUAUAGUAAAAAAUUGUAGGAAAGGGACCACAAAUGUGAUUUCAUGCCCUCAAGCAGAAAGGCAGAAAAAUGACUGGUUGUGAAAUGUAUAGCGUGGCAUUAGACGAGAAGCCAAAUGCUGGGUGAGACACAGCUGUUGUUGCCAUUGUGACUGUAGAUGGCUUCUCCCCUGAGUCUUUGUCAAGAAACAAUGUCACGGUCAUCCCAAGAGACAUUCUACAACGGGUCUUGGUAAGCCCAUCUUCUGCUUCAAAGCCAAAAUGACGUCCCAACGGACAAAUGUUAUGUUAUUCUCGGCUUGUCAUCUCUAGGUACAUGUGUGCCUUCUGGGUAGUAUUGCUUCCAAGAACUGUGCUAGUAAAGUAUUUGGCACUCAGUCCUUAGAAGGAAGCAAGACCUUGAUUGGUAACUUUUGUUAGUUACUGUGGUAUAAAUACUCCUACUGUGGCUAGGUCCAAGCCACCAACAAGACGUCACUGAAGAUGUAUGAGGAAGACUGUCCAGCAUACAGACACAACAGAAACGGAUAACCUCAAGCACAUUUAAAAGAGAAAAAAAAAAAAGAAUUAGGGACGGAUGAGUUCUGAGUACUAAUGUUUUAAUGUACUUUGUUUAGUCAUAAGCUUGCAUAAUCUAGUUCUUAAUUACUGUGUGGAGCAGUCGCUGGCAAAUGCCCGAAUAUUUACCAGUUGGCUCAUGCAGAGCCCACUACGGGUUGGUUCUGAAACCCUGAGACUUCUGAAGUAUGACAAGCUCUGUCCCCAGCUGUCUUCUCUGGGCUCAUCUCUGGCUACUUGCUGCCUCCCACCUUCUGCUCCAACAUUCUGAAGUCUUAACGAAUAAUCUAAACUUGUUUUCCUAUCGGACUUUUGGAUGGUUCUCUUUGACCUCAAGACCUCCACAACAACUCCCCCCAUACGGCAAACCUCCCCUUACACAUUUCUCUCUCCAGAAAGUCUUCUCCUGGUCUAUCACCUUUGUCCUAUAAUGAAGAAUUAGGUUUUCGAGAAUCUGACCUUUGCCCUUGACUAUUGUUAGCAAUCUAAAGCCCUUGGGAAGACCUACCUGAUAAGAGUGCUUCUGGUUUGUUUUUUGUUUGUUUUGUUUUGUUUUGUUUUUGAGAGCAAUCUCAGUAGUGAAAGUCAACAAGGAGAUGUGUGAGGGUGGCUUUGAACCCUGGGAUGUCUCCUUGAUAUUGACAGAUGCUAGGAAGGAAGGUUCACUGUGGGUGUCAACUUUGUUACCGAACCCUAUUAAAAACCCUGGAUAUUAAGGCUUGGGUGGGUUUUUCUGAUCACUUGGGCUGCUGGAAGAAAUGUGUGCCAUCCGCCAUUCCCCUAGAAGAGGAGAGCAAAUGGCCUGAGUGUAGAUCUCCCCUGGGCUCUAUCCCAUGGACUGCUUUCCUUGGCAGCUUUUAUCUUUAUUCUUUGUCUGUAACAAACCAUAAUUAUGAUCACAACACACUGCAGUGGGUUUUGUGAGCUAAUUAUUGAGCACAAGGUAAUUUGGAAGCCCCUAAAUGCAACUAGGAUCAGAAAUGACACUAACUCUGGGGACUCCCAAAUUUGGGUAGCACUUUAUGUGUUUUUGCUUUCUGUCAUAUCCGAGGUCGCCUAUACAACCUGGUCUGCCCUGUUUCCCUGUUAGAGGAGAGUUGUUGAACUUUGCUUGCUAAUUCUUCCUCAGGACCUAGCCAGCCCCUAGCCUCAAACAACGAACAUUGAAACGAGCUCUCUAGACCAUGUUAUCACAUUGCCAUGUUUACAUGAGUUCCCAAGACUACUUCUGCUUUUAACACAAAUCAGUUAAAUAACAGGAUACUGAUGACUGGAAGGCUGUUCGGCGACAUCAAUUCUAGGUGUGGGAAAAGGCACAUCUGUAUAACACUCUAUCUUUUAUCACAUCUCUUCAUUAAAUAAGUGAGAUCACAGACAAGUGCAGGGUUACUUUUUGUUCCAGAUGAACGUCCAUUACACUGUGGCUCAACUGGCCCUCUGAGGCCCAGGAAGGCUUGUGUUCUAGGGUAUACGUGGGCUCCAGACAAAAGGCCACCUGAGUCCAGGAUAAAAACUGACAAGGACCUGAGCAAAACAAAGGCAUUUGACCAGGAUGCCCAGCUCUGCUUUUACAAAGUCGAACACAUUAUUAAAUUCCCUUUGUUUGUUGUCCACAGAAGCACAAAGACCUCAGAAGUUAACCCGGGGCUAGGGCAGAAAGCAUGAGAAGCCAAGUCCUUUUCCUACCUGACACACAGUCUAUAUCUAAUGAAGAUCAAGGAAGGCAACAUGUUUAAGGGCCCUGGAGAUGCCUAAUCAUGUGUAAAAUAUUAGCAAACUGGAGACAUGUGCUAAUGGGCGGUUGUGUAACGGUGUUGGGUUAGUUAGUAGGGAGCAGAAAACAUGCAGCAUAUCACUUGAGCCCAACAGGUAGCGGUGAAACCUGGGUCAAAAUGACAUCCGUUACUUUCCACAGUAUUUAUUCUGUGCCAGACACUGGGAACAACUCUCUGUUGCUGCAUUUUGUCCUCGAGACUCCUCAAGGAACUAUUGUCCCAAUUCAAAACCGCUGACAUGCCUUUUGGAAAUUCUUUUAUUAGUGUGCAUUAACUGCACUAAACAAGGUGUUUCCUCAAAGGUUUUCAUACAAGCAUAAAAUGUAUUUCGAUCUCCGUAUUUCUUUUUACUGCAUGUGAAUGGAUGAGGGCAGUGUAUGUGUGGGGGAUUGUAGGUGUACACACGGCUCUACACCCUCAUUCUUCCCAAUCAUCCCCCACCUUAGUCUUUGAGGCAGGGCCUCUUGGUGACAUUUCUACUAGACUGGCUAGGCAGCAAGCUCUAAUGAGUCCAUUUGUUUCCAUUCCUCUAGUUCUGGGUUUACAGGAACACACUGCUCACUGGAGUACAGACACACUGUAUACUAAGGUUAAAUAUACACUGUGCAUUGGAAUUACAGAUACACAGGGUACACUGGGGUUACAGACACACACUGCACACUGAGGUUACAGUCACUGUACACUGAGGUUACACACACUGCACACUGAGGUUACACACACUGCACACUGGGGUUACACACACUGCACACUGGGGUCACACACACUGCACACUGGGGUCACACACACUGCACACUGAGGUUACACACACUGCACACUGAGGUCACAGACACACUGCACAGCAGAGGUACAUAGAAACACUGCCUAUGGGUCUUGGGGAUCAGAACUCAGGUCCUCAUGCUUGCACAGCAAGCAGUUACUAGACCAUCUCCCAGCCUCUGUUCAUGAGUCGAAGAGAAAUGGAAACAGAUUUAAAAAUAAGUCAGAAGUAGCACUCAGUCACAGUCACAAAGUUCAAACGUUGAGAGUCCCACCCAGGUCUGUUUCUGUAAAACUGACUUUCUAACUAACAUGUAGCACUGCCCUUCUGGAGGGAGAGCAGAUGCAGGGAACAUUUGCAGUCACCAGGCAGAUACAACUAAGGAUUUUGUUGUGGUUCACAUCACCAUUCACACAGGGAUAGGUAGACUGAGGAGGGACUGAUUACAGAUUAACAGGAACUGAAACAUCUGCCCUUAACCCUAGCAAAUGCUACAGUGCCUAUUAUAGACCAGACCUUGAAGACAAGGAAAAGAUUGCCUUUUGGAAGCUUGGAGUUUGGGGUCUAUUUUAAAAUCCAUUUGAGCAGGGCACACAGACAAAAAAAUUAAUUCAUGACAACUUGUUCUCAAGCUGUGAAUUUGGGAGGACGUUUGCAGGAUUCAUUAGCCCACAGAUUCACACUCACACCUGUGUGGGGGCUGUUUUAUCAGUUCCCGGAGCAAGAGGAUAAAAUACAUGAAGAAUCUGGGUCGUGCCUUUUUCUCUAGCUGGUGAUUUGUAAAUGCCAGUGGAGGAAGCUAAGGAGGGUGGUCAGCAGCCUGUGCCCUUCAGCUCCCUCCUACUAAAUCUUUACUCUUCUCUGCAGUCAUGUGUGUGGUCUGCUCCAUAUUCACCUUACGAGAAUCGAAAACACACACACACACACACACACACACACACACACACACACACGCGCGCGCGCGCACACCCAGCAUUGUUAGAAUCUUAUUCCUCUUUACAUUCUCUUGACGUUUCCUGGUCAAUGAAUUCCACCCAAGACCUUAUUUCAAGGCCAUUGUAAUGUGAAUGAUUCUACCUUAAUGCUGAUACAGGCCACUGUGCUACUUAAUGCUACUGUGACCUACUGAUGUUCUACACAGAAAAACUCAAUGAGGGAGACGGAAGGAUUCACAGCUCUGUCCUUCGAUCCUAGUGUCGCCAGGUGGUAACAUCCAUGUGUAAAUUAAUCUUCUGAUUCCUGCUCUGCUCUGCUCAACUCUUCAGGUGCUAGUCCAGUUUUUUUUUUCCCCUUAUGACCCUUGGUGGUUUGAAUAAAAAUGGAUCCCAUAGGGUCACUCACAGGAAGUGGCACAAUUAGGAGGUGUGGCCUUGUUAGAAUGGGUGUGGCCUUUGUUGGAGGAAGUGUGUGUUACUGGGGUUAGGCUUUGAGGUUUCCAGCACUUGAGCCAGGCCCUGUGUGUCCUUCUCUGCUGACUUCUAAUCCAAAUGUAGAAAUCUCAGCCAACUUUCUAGCACACUAUUUGACUACUUGCCCGGUGCUUCUCAUCGUAAUGACAGAGGACUAAACCUCUGAAAUAUAAACUAACCAUAGUAAAGUAUUUCAUUAGGGGUGCCAGGGUCAUGGUGUAGCUUCACAGAAAUAGAAACCCUAACCGAGACAGACCCACAGCUGGUCAGCCCAGGUCUAUUAGUGUCUCAGGCCCAGAGAGCAAUGGAUAGACUUCUCCUUGCACAAGUGGCGUGACGUUCACCCCACUCCUAGCCAGCUGGAGACUCUAAGAAUGGGUUCACAUCUUUACAACGUGUUCCCUGGAAAGUAUCCUACUAGGCCACUUGGGCUAACUCACAUUCCAGGGAAAAUGGACCAAAACAGAUGAUCUACACUUGGUGUUCCAAUCUACCUGAUGAAGAGCAGUCUUGGCAACUGUGGCAUUGACAAAGAGUACAGGAGGAGAAACUUCUCAGCAAUAGAGGAGACUGAGCAAGUGUUUCAGUUAGGCCUUGAUAUCUUGUGCAAACGAUGUAGGCAAGAUGGCGUGGUCCAAGGAAUACCCUUCAUCUUCCUCUUUGUAACUCCCCAGAGGAUUCAUUCCCCCAGUGUAUCACCUAGCCCAUACUUAUAGCAACCUCACACUGUCGUUUGAGGUUCCAUGUAUUUGAUCUGUCAAAAAUUCCCAUCUUCUGCUGAUUUUUUUUUUAAAAGAAAAGAACAGAAGCUGGAGAGGAGGAUAAGGUUAAACACUUGAUGAGCUCUAAAAACAAACAUGAAGGCUAGAAUUUGGGACUGGAGAGAUGAGCCAAGGCUUAGGAAGACCAACUGCUCUUUGCAGAGGACAUGUUUUUGGUCCCAAACGCCUCUAUCAGACUCACAAUCAUCUGUAACUUGGUCUCCAAAGAACCUGACACAUUCUCCCUGACCUCUGUGGACAAACGGGCACGUGCACGUGCGCACACACGCGCGCGCACACACACACACACACACACACACACACACACACACACACGAAAGAAAAUAAA